This 363-nucleotide unclassified non-coding RNA is filed under the name uncultured bacterium. Its description in RNAcentral is "contains 16S-23S intergenic spacer region". The record is from RNAcentral.
UCCCCGUUACCGGGGCAGUCUGAUUAGAAAAAUCCAACUAAUCAUAAGGGUUGCGCUCGUUGAUGGACUUAACCAAACAUCUCACGACACGAGCUGACGACGGCCAUGCAACACCUGUCACUUGGUUCCCGAAGGCACUCUCUGCUUUCACAGAAAUUCCAAGGAUGUCAAACCCUGGUAAGGUUCUUCGCUUAGCCUCGAAUUAAACAACACGCUCCACCGCUUGUGCGGGUCCCCGUCAAUUCCUUUGAGUUUUAAUCUUGCGACCGUACUCCCCAGGCGGGAUACUUAACGCGUUAGCUUCGUUACUGACCGGGUCGAUACGGCCAACAACUAGUAUCCAUCGUUUACGGCGUGGACUAC